AGUUAAUUUUUUCAAAUGGCGUUCAGUAAUUUUUUCCAAAUUAGAUAUGAGAGCCUUUACUCCCAACGGCAGUCGUUGAAGUUUUUAUUUUUUUAAAAAUAUUGGUUUAAAAAUAAAAUCUUUUUAAAAAAAAUUAAAGCUUUUUUUUUUAAAAAAAAUAAAUUUUAUUUAUAAAAAUUGUUCUUAAAUUAAUUAAUUUGGUUAAGAAAAGAGAAUAUUCCAAAAAAAAUUUGAACAAAAUAGAUAUAAUUAAGAAAGUUGAAUAUAAUUUAGUAAUUUUGGAAAAAUACUGCAGAUCCAACCUUUCCCUAUUCUUUCUCCUAAUAUACUUCUGUCUCCAACCCAACCCAACCCAACCCAACCAGUCGACAAAAAAUUUGGGGAUCUGACUUUAGAAACCUAAAAUUGAAGAGGCGUUUAGUGAUUGAUUCAAAAUCUGGUGGAUGGUCUUCCGUCGGUGCUCACGCUAAUCUAACCGGUGCUCCUAAUGACGCUUUCCUCAACUCUCAUGGCUACCGCGGCUUGUUUUCUCAGAUUGAGGUUCGUUUUUCUCUCUCAUUCAUCUUUUAUAAAUUUUACCAUAUAUACAUAUACUUAGCAUAAUUGAAUCCAGUAAUAGUAUUAAGGAAUGAAAGUGAGUUCUCAAAGCUUGGUGAUGUCCUGUAUUUAGAAGUUCCUAACUAAUUACAUAGAAUCUCACUUAAGCCUCCUGAUAAAUACUUGCUCCAUUAUUUUCCUCAAUGGAGUGUCAUAUUCGCCCUUUAUGCAGUGAAGGAUCCUUGAAACUUCUUAUUAGCUGAUAGUGUUAUAGGUCAAGCUCAAUGGAUGGGUAAUACCAUUAUAAUUUUUGUUCAUUGAGUAUUGUUGAAUUGAAUGUUAUAUGUUUUGUGUUGAUUUAAAGUACGCUAGAUUUGUAGAGUAUGCUCUGAUCCUCAAACUCGGCUAAGUUCAAAAGUUAAUUGCAAUUUAUUACCUAAAUCAACUAUAAUUGAUGGAAUUAUGUUCGAUGAUGCGGAUAGUACAAAUUAAUUAGAGAAAGAGGUUUAUAAGUUUCAGGGUAAGUCUACUGUUUCUAAAGUAGGUGCUCGCUAUAUCUAUUAUGACUGUUCUACCAUAACACUACCACUCCAUCUUUGCUAGGAAGAUUUAUUUAUCAACAUUAACUCUCAAACUGAAUCAUGCUAACAUUAUUUUAACACUUAACACAAUUAAUUAGAAUAUAGUUGAAAGUAACUUUCUAAACAUCAACUCCUUUGUGUUUUAUACACUGCAACUUAUGCUGGAUGUCUGAAUUUCAAUCUUCUCAAUGUAUUAAAUUAUUAGUCCUUGGACCAUUUAUGGUCUGCAUCACCUAAUAUUUUUAUUUUUGAUAGCUUGCAUCACCUAAUAUUAUAAUUAUAUUAGUUGGGAAUCAUGCAUUGAAUUGCUUUCUCCCCAGUUAGUUUAUUCCAACAACUUAAAUUUAAUCAGUGAUAAUGUAAUCAUUGUAGAAUGAAGAACCAAUUUUUUCUUUGUUAGGUGAUCCUUUUGGGCAAAGGUCAGGUUUCAGCAACCUCAUUCUGGCUGUAUUUGCAAAUGGAAUAGUGAAGAGCUGUAUGAAUUCCUUUUGUUACAAAUUGAACUAGUUGGCUACAUUUGGAAAUUGAACAAAAUGACAAUUGUUUGAGAUUAGUUCCAAGUGUAGACCCUUGGAGUAAUCUUGAUCUUAGCCUAAUAUACCUUAGGCCAUUCUGCUUACGUUGUUGGAAGCUAGAUGAGUUUAGGCCAACUAAUUUCAUAUUAAGUAAGCCUUAAAAUCAAGUCUUGAGCCUUAUUGUCUCGCAUUGGAUAACAUACACGAUCGUGCAGAUAAAGAGAGUUUGCAGAUAACUAAGGUUGUCUAUGUUUCUCAUGCUCUGCUGCGCCGCUAGUGUUUAUCGCUCGUGCGCUGACUGCCAAAAAGAAAAUCCACAAAUCUCGAGGCUCAUACCAUUACUAGUGAUAUCGUUCGAUGAUGAUGUUUUCUCUCUGAGGAAAUCGGGGUACAUUACAUUAUAUAGUAGUUUUUGAACCUUGAAACUUUGUUCACUAUUUUAUCCAAAUUGAUUAUUUUACACUUAAGGGUGUAUUGGGAUCUUGAUUCUUGUCUUAAAAUAUUCCAACAAACGGUUGUGAUUGCUGGUUUUUUGGGGUUGGUAAUUGGUUCCUCGCACCCGACCAUGCUUGUAAAUUUUUGUUUCUUUAGUUGAAUUUUGUGGUACCGUAGAAAAGCCCAUCAGUUUAUUGCCAAAAUUUGGGCUCUUUUUACUGUUACUCCAUUUUUUAAUGUUGAAGUGGUGGGAGUAGAGAAUUUGUCUUCACAGGAUACUCCUGUUGUAUAUGUGUCCAACCACCAGAGCUUUUUAGACACAUAUGUUCUUCUCACUCUGGGUAGUAGCUUUAAGUUCAUCAGCAAGACAUCAAUUUUUUUCUUUCCUGUUGUUGGAUGGGCCGUGUUUUUAAUGAGUGUUAUUCCUUUGAAGCGCAUGGACAGCAGAUGCCAAUUGGUAACUUGAUUCUUUCCCUUGAAAAUAUUAUUUCACCUUUGAUGCAAAAAAUUAAUCAGUUUGUUUAGGUUGGUUUGCCAUAUGGGAAAUUUAUAUUAUAGUACUUGUUCUAGUAAACUAUUGUUCUUCUCUUGAACUAUACAGGUUAUAUUUUUUGUCUGUAUGAAUGUAGCAAACUCUCAAACAAUGCAUGGAUCUUGUGAAGAAGGGAGGAUCUGUUUUUUCUUUCCAGAUCGGAGUAAAGAUGGAAAAUUAGGGGUAUUCAACGUGUGGUCUAUUGAUGGUUCUUACUCCCAACAUUACCAUAUGGUAUUACUUACGUAAAGGUAGUAGGAAAGUUUCAGAUGCUCGUGUGAUGAGGAUGUUUUUCUUCAUCUUCUGAACUACAUAGAGGAGCAUUUAUCUGAAGUUUAACUAUAAAAAAAUCACUUCUAUUUAUACCCUGCUAAAUUUAGUAUGUUCACACACUGCCUUUUGUACUAUAGUCUUAAUUGCAAUAGGGAUGGCCUAGAAAAUAUUUAUAUAGGAAGAAUUAUGGAUGUCCUCAAAAGAUUUGAUUUCAAACAAAAGGGUUGUGCUUAUAAAAUUUCUUUAAAGAUCUCUAUAUGUUGUUUUUACUUGCCCAAAAGCUUGCCUUUCUUAUUGUGGAUAAUGGUAGUAAGAAAUAUGAUCUAAUGAUGACCUUCGUUUUAUGCUUUGUAUAUAUAUUUUCUUUUAGUGAUCAAAAUAGGUUGAUCUUUUCAUCUUCCAUUCGUAAUAAGUAAUUGAAUAAUGCAGUUUGGGUAAAUUUAGCACGUUUUUUUUGACUUUGCUAUUAUUUUACUGACUUUGUUAUUAUUUUUAAAUAUGUGCAGGAAGACUGCUUCUACGACCUGCCUUACAAUAUUGGGUAUCAAAUUUUCGUGCUACGUUUACGGAAGACAAUGAACGAAAUUAUGAAGUGUACUCUCUCUAUAUAUGUAGAUAUAUACUUUAAUUGAAGAACUGUGGUAGCUUUAGAUGGUUAAUUGUAAAGAUAAUGAAUGAUUAUGUAGUGGGUGAUUUUAUUAAGUUAAUAAUAUUUUAGUUUUUUGUAUUUUUUC
This 3607-nucleotide long non-coding RNA is filed under the name Panax ginseng (ginseng). RNAcentral's name for it is "long non-coding RNA (PGIN_LNC006622)". The record is from RNAcentral. Lineage: Eukaryota; Viridiplantae; Streptophyta; Magnoliopsida; Apiales; Araliaceae.